Molecule: small RNA, 171 nt
Filed under: Arabidopsis thaliana (thale cress)
Lineage: Eukaryota; Viridiplantae; Streptophyta; Magnoliopsida; Brassicales; Brassicaceae
Description: ATSL241970
Source: RNAcentral
UUAUUAAAGAUUAUUUGAAAAAGUUUAUAUCUUACACCCGCCUAAAUAUGCGGGUCUUAUCUAGUAUAUAAUAAAAGAAUAAACAGAAAACAAUACUAAUCCAAGUGUUCAAAUAAUAUAUUGGAAUAAAUGUUACUAAAAUGGAUCAUAUUUGAACAUAAGACAUAUUUG